AACCUGUUUGGCAGCAGAGGUGUGGUGUAAGCCUAUCAUCUCUUUUUGAGAAGCUGGAUAUGGAAAAACAGCAGCACAGUAUCUCAACCUCUCGUCACACAUGUGUAAGCUGGAGUUGUAAAGCAGUCCACCUCUAUCCUCCCAGGCCAGCAGUGACCCAACGAAAGGAUCGAUGGCAGCCUGACAGUGGUGCCUCCCUCAAAUAAAGAAGCAUUUCUGGAUGCUCCUCUCUGGUUCUGCUCCAGCACUCUCUGACCUCGAGGAAAAGGAUCCCUUUGUAUUUUUUAAAAAGUGUUGGCUUUGGCCAUGUAAUCAUGGAUUGACUUGUGAUCUUGCUUUUGGAUGAAAUAGGCCCCCUUCUCAUGCACUGAUUCUUUGCUAUUAAACACUUCAUAGAGGCUAA
Molecule: non-coding RNA, 403 nt
Organism: Phalacrocorax carbo (great cormorant)
Lineage: Eukaryota; Metazoa; Chordata; Aves; Suliformes; Phalacrocoracidae
Source: RefSeq, a predicted model, not a curated record